AACCUUAUGGACCUGCGGGCGUAUACCUGCGGAAGGAUCAUUACAGAGUUGCAAAACUCCCUAAACCAUUGUGAACGUUACCUAAACCGUUGCUUCGGCGGGCGGCCCGGGUCCUUCCCGGCGCCCCUCGGCCCUCGCGGGCGCCCGCCGGAGGUAAACCAAACUAUUGCAUUGUAUGGCCUCUCUGAGUCUUCUGUACUGAAUAAGUCAAAACUUUUAACAACGGAUCUCAGAUCGGAA
This 240-nucleotide unclassified non-coding RNA is filed under the name soil metagenome. Its description in RNAcentral is "partial contains 5.8S ribosomal RNA, internal transcribed spacer 2, and large subunit ribosomal RNA". The record is from RNAcentral.